RNAcentral lists this long non-coding RNA (201 nucleotides) under Capsella rubella. RNAcentral describes it as "long non-coding RNA (CRUB_LNC003616)". Lineage: Eukaryota; Viridiplantae; Streptophyta; Magnoliopsida; Brassicales; Brassicaceae. The record is from RNAcentral.
AAACAAUUCACUUUAUAUGUGAUAUCAACUUCACUUAGCUACACUCAAAUUGCAUUGAAAUUUGAGAUAAUACAUCAUUCAAUUUAUCUAAGGUUUGCAAAUUAUUUUUCAUUCAUUAGGAUUAUUUUGUAAAUCUAAGAAAUUUGGAAACUGUAGUUUACGACUUACGUAAAUUAUGAGGCAGUUUGUGAAAAAAAAAAA